This 468-nucleotide ribosomal RNA is filed under the name uncultured bacterium. Its description in RNAcentral is "partial 16S ribosomal RNA". It matches the Rfam family "Bacterial small subunit ribosomal RNA", at positions 28 to 507 of the family's 1533-position model. The record is from RNAcentral.
GACGAACGCUGGCGGCGUGCUUAACACAUGCAAGUCGAACGGAAAGGCCCUGCUUUUGUGGGGUGCUCGAGUGGCGAACGGGUGAGUAACACGUGAGUAACCUGCCCUUGACUUUGGGAUAACUUCAGGAAACUGGGGCUAAUACCGGAUAUGAGCUCCUGCUGCAUGUUGUGGGUUGGAAAGUUUCGGCGUUUGGGGAUGGACUCGCGGCUUAUCAGCUUGUUGGUGGGGUAGUUGCUUACCAAGGCUUUGACGGGUAGCCGGCCUGAGAGGGUGACCGGCCACAUUGGGACUGAGAUACGGCACAGACUCCUAAGGGAGGCAGAAGUGGGAAAUAUUGAACAAUGGGCGGAAGCCUGAUGCAGCAACGCCGCGUGCGGGAUGACGGCCUUAGGGUUGUAAACCGCUUUCGCAUGUGACGAAGCGUGAGUGACGGUAAUGGGUAAAGAAGCACAGGCUAAAUACGUG